AGCAGCCGCGGUAAUUCCAGCUCCAAUAGCGUAUAUUAAAGUUGUUGCAGUUAAAAAGCUCGUAGUUGAAUUUCGAGAUCAAAUUGUUGGUCGUGCCUCGGUACGUACUGGCAUUAUUGAUUUCUCCCUUCUGAAGAACCACGAUGUCAUUAAUUUGGUGUCGUGGGGAAUCAGGACUGUUACUUUGAAAAAAUUAGAGUGUUUAAAGCAGGCUCACGCUUGAAUACAUUAGCAUGGAAUAAUGAAAUAGGACGUUUGAUUCUAUUUUGUUGGUUUCUAGGAUCGACGUAAUGAUUAAUAGGGAUAGUUGGGGGCAUUAGUAUUCAAUUGUCAGAGGUGAAAUUCUUGGAUUUAUUGAAGACUAACUACUGCGAAAGCAUUUGCCAAGGAUGUUUUCAUUAAUCAAGAACGAAAGUUAGGGGAUCGAAGACGAUCAGAUACCGUCG
Molecule: ribosomal RNA, 446 nt
Filed under: uncultured Glomus
Lineage: Eukaryota; Fungi; Glomeromycota; Glomeromycetes; Glomerales; Glomeraceae
Description: SSU rRNA
Rfam family: Eukaryotic small subunit ribosomal RNA
Source: RNAcentral